RNAcentral lists this ribosomal RNA (219 nucleotides) under uncultured bacterium. RNAcentral's name for it is "partial 16S ribosomal RNA". It matches the Rfam family "Bacterial small subunit ribosomal RNA", at positions 524 to 744 of the family's 1533-position model. The record is from RNAcentral.
UACGUAGGGUGCGAGCGUUGUCCGGAAUUAUUGGGCGUAAAGGGCUCGUAGGCGGUUUGUCGCGUCGGGAGUGAAAUCCACUGGCUUAACUGGUGGCUUGCUUUCGAUACGGGCAGACUGGAGGUAUGCAGGGGAGAACGGAAUUCCUGGUGUAGCGGUGAAAUGCGCAGAUAUCAGGAGGAACACCGGUGGCGAAGGCGGGUCUCGUGGGCAAGUGAA